RNAcentral lists this transfer RNA (58 nucleotides) under Ictidomys tridecemlineatus (thirteen-lined ground squirrel). RNAcentral's name for it is "Spermophilus tridecemlineatus (thirteen-lined ground squirrel) tRNA". It matches the Rfam family "tRNA", at positions 8 to 63 of the family's 71-position model. Rfam says of the family: Transfer RNA (tRNA) molecules are approximately 80 nucleotides in length. Their secondary structure includes four short double-helical elements and three loops (D, anti-codon, and T loops). Further hydrogen bonds mediate the characteristic L-shaped molecular structure. tRNAs have two regions of fundamental functional importance: the anti-codon, which is responsible for specific mRNA codon recognition, and the 3' end, to which the tRNAs corresponding amino acid is attached (by aminoacyl-tRNA synthetases). tRNAs cope with the degeneracy of the genetic code in two manners: having more than one tRNA (with a specific anti-codon) for a particular amino acid; and 'wobble' base-pairing, i.e. permitting non-standard base-pairing at the 3rd anti-codon position. The record is from Rfam by way of RNAcentral. Lineage: Eukaryota; Metazoa; Chordata; Mammalia; Rodentia; Sciuridae.
UAUCUCAGUUGGUAGAGUGCUUGCCUCACAUGCACAAGGCCCUGGGUUCAAUUCCCAG